RNAcentral lists this ribosomal RNA (313 nucleotides) under uncultured Glomus. Its description in RNAcentral is "SSU rRNA". It matches the Rfam family "Eukaryotic small subunit ribosomal RNA", at positions 569 to 886 of the family's 1831-position model. The record is from RNAcentral. Lineage: Eukaryota; Fungi; Glomeromycota; Glomeromycetes; Glomerales; Glomeraceae.
AGCAGCCGCGGUAAUUCCAGCUCCAAUAGCGUAUAUUAAAGUUGUUGCAGUUAAAAAGCUCGUAGUUGAAUUUCGGGGUCAGCAGGUUGGUCGUGCCACUGGUAUGCACUGGUCUCGCUGAUUCCUCCCUCUUGUAGAACUGUAAUGCCAUUAAGUUGGUGUUGCGGAGAAACAGGACUGUUACUUUGAAAAAAUUAGAGUGUUUAAAGCAGGCUAACGCUUGAAUACAUUAGCAUGGAAUAAUGAAAUAGGACGAUCGAUCUUAUUUUGUUGGUUUCUAGGGUUGACGUAAUGAUUAAUAGGGAUAGUUGGG